This 253-nucleotide ribosomal RNA is filed under the name uncultured bacterium. RNAcentral describes it as "partial 16S ribosomal RNA". It matches the Rfam family "Bacterial small subunit ribosomal RNA", at positions 524 to 776 of the family's 1533-position model. The record is from RNAcentral.
UACGGGGGGGGCAAGCGUUGUCCGGAAUUAUUGGGCGUAAAGAGCUCGUAGGCGGUUUGUUGCGUCGGCUGUGAAAUCCCGAGGCUCAACCUCGGGUCUGCAGUCGAUACGAGCAAACUAGAGUGUUGCAGGGGAGACUGGAAUUCCUGGUGUAGCGGUGAAAUGCGCAGAUAUCAGGAGGAACACCGGUGGCGAAGGCGGGUCUCUGGGCAACAACUGACGCUGAGGAGCGAAAGCGUGGGGAGCGAACAGG